GGGAAACUUCUGCUAAUACCGCAUACGCCCUGAGGGGGAAAGAUUUAUCGCUAUGAUAUCGGCCCGCGGCAGAUUAGGCAGUUGGUGGGUAAAGGCCUACCAAACCUACGAUCUAUAGCUGGUCUGAGAGGACGAUCAGCCACAUUGGAACUGAGACACGGUCCAGACUCCUACGGGAGGCAGCAGUGAGGAAUAUUGGGCAAUGGAGGGAACUCUGACCCAGCCAUGCCGCGUGAGUGAGAAGGUUUCGAAUUGUAAAGCUCUUUCGGGUGUGAAGAUGAUGACGGUAACACCAGAAGAAGCCCGGCAACUUCGUGCC
RNAcentral lists this ribosomal RNA (319 nucleotides) under uncultured bacterium. RNAcentral's name for it is "bacterial SSU rRNA". It matches the Rfam family "Bacterial small subunit ribosomal RNA", at positions 151 to 509 of the family's 1533-position model. The record is from RNAcentral.